Molecule: ribosomal RNA, 158 nt
Filed under: Trichoderma harzianum
Lineage: Eukaryota; Fungi; Ascomycota; Sordariomycetes; Hypocreales; Hypocreaceae
Description: 5.8S ribosomal RNA
Rfam family: 5.8S ribosomal RNA
About the family: 5.8S ribosomal RNA (5.8S rRNA) is a component of the large subunit of the eukaryotic ribosome. It is transcribed by RNA polymerase I as part of the 45S precursor that also contains 18S and 28S rRNA.
Source: RNAcentral
AACUUUCAACAACGGAUCUCUUGGUUCUGGCAUCGAUGAAGAACGCAGCGAAAUGCGAUAAGUAAUGUGAAUUGCAGAAUUCAGUGAAUCAUCGAAUCUUUGAACGCACAUUGCGCCCGCCAGUAUUCUGGGCGGGCAUGCCUGUCCGAGCGUCAUUU